This 253-nucleotide ribosomal RNA is filed under the name uncultured bacterium. RNAcentral describes it as "partial 16S ribosomal RNA". It matches the Rfam family "Bacterial small subunit ribosomal RNA", at positions 524 to 776 of the family's 1533-position model. The record is from RNAcentral.
GACGAAGGAUGCAAGCGUUAUCCGGAUUCAUUGGGUUUAAAGGGCGCGUAGGUGGCCUUAUAAGUCAGUGGUGAAAUCUCUCAGCUUAACUGAGAAAUUGCCAUUGAUACUGUAGGGCUUGAGUACAGAUGCCGUUGGCGGAAUAUGACAAGUAGCGGUGAAAUGCAUAGAUAUGUCACAGAACACCAAUUGCGAAGGCAGCUUACUAAGGUGCAAUUGACGCUGAGGCACGAAAGCGUGGGGAGCAAACAGG